Otolemur garnettii (small-eared galago) is the source of this 128-nucleotide small nucleolar RNA. The record is from Ensembl. Lineage: Eukaryota; Metazoa; Chordata; Mammalia; Primates; Galagidae.
GGGAUGUGCUCAGAGCAGGGGCCUGAAACAUGGUUCUUCAGUUUUUAACACACCCAACAGGAAUCCGGCGUCACUGUGAGGAGGGACACAAAACUUGUGGCCUUUCUACAAACAAAUUUCGUACAUGU